AGUUGCCUUAUGGAGUCGGUACCUCUUGGCCAUGGAGAGACAUGGAGUUGAUCAUCAAGUAAUUUCUGUAACCUUCGAGAAAGCUUUGAAUGCCGGCUUCAUCCAGGCCACUGAUUAUGUGGAGAUUUGGCAGGCAUACCUUGAUUACCUGAGGAGAAGGGUUGAUUUCAAACAAGGUAUUUAAGCACAUGUUUUUCACUUUAGAGCUGAACAUGUUAUUAAUACAACUUUUGGCGAGAUGUCCCAGUUCCCCAGAUACAUUGUGAUUGGGCAAAUGAUGUAGACUAGGUAUUGGUGACUUUUUUCCCCCAGAAAUCUUAGCAAUUUCUGUCUUUAACAAGUCAUGAUGUGGAUUGUAAAGCAAGAGAGUAAUCGUUUAUACUGGCAUCUGCCAGCCUUUUUAGUCUUAGCUCUCAUUUCCCCUUUCAGGUCUUUUUGUUUAUCCUAAAUACUUCUUGAAAUAAGACUGCUGUUUUAGAAAAAUCUUUGUACCUCUGUAGGAUCCUCUGCCCCUUCAUGUCCCCCCCAAAACAACCAGAAAACCCCUAACUUGUACU
Molecule: small RNA, 557 nt
Filed under: Pongo abelii (Sumatran orangutan)
Lineage: Eukaryota; Metazoa; Chordata; Mammalia; Primates; Hominidae
Description: retained intron
Source: RNAcentral